Molecule: long non-coding RNA, 5368 nt
Organism: Hippocampus zosterae (dwarf seahorse)
Lineage: Eukaryota; Metazoa; Chordata; Actinopteri; Syngnathiformes; Syngnathidae
Exons: 2
Source: RefSeq, a predicted model, not a curated record
GGUCAAUUUCUCUCAGUGAGACAGGCGGUGGCUUCUUGUCUGGUUCUGGUUUUUGGAUGACCUCCUUUUCCGGCAGGUCCUCCUCAUUUUCCCUCAUCCUCACCUCAUCCUUCGUCAAGGUCGGGGUGCUUUCCUCAGGACAGAGGCAGCUCCAGCCUGUAGGCGGGCGUCUCCGACUCCAGCAGCAGAGUUUUCUCUUUCACUUCCAAGCUGGCAUCCGCCACUGACUUCAGCAGAGGUACGUCGAUGGUGAUGACAAUCUCUUUGGGCCUGGGGCUCUUUCCGGAGUCUCUGGAGCAUCUGAAGUCCUGCAGGUCAAUGAAUGAUCGAUAUUUUAUGGUGUAGCUUGGUUCAGUGGGCAGUUUGCUUUUCUCAUUCUUAAUUUCGAAGCUUUUAGGUUUGGGAUCAGGGCAAGUUUUCAGGUUUUUUUCAUCUGGGUAAGGAAAGGCAAGUGGGUGAUCUUCAGGAGGUUUGGCUGUAUAUCCAGGGAUGGGUUUACGGAUUACACAAGGCUGAGGUGUGCCCUUGUACUUUGUGUUCAUCUCUCUCACAUUGUUUUUGUCCAGCGUCACCUUAAAGGCAUCCUGGAUUCCCUGAAUGGCCGUGCUGAUCACCAUUUGCAUGAAUUCGGCCUUUUUGUUUGCUAUGUGGAGGGUGUCAGGGUGGAAUAUGACAUCAUAGAUCAUGAUUUUGUUCCCUUUUGGAUCGGUGUCUUCCCUUCCUGGGUGAAGAUUGUGAGGCAGUGACCAACAGUGCCCUCUGCGACCAUCCUCAGACAACCCCCACUUACACUCAGGCUUCCCAACUUUGUCAUUCGCACAGAUGUUGAUGUAGCACUUCUGCUUGCUGUUCACGCUGGUCCUCAGGGCUCUGAAUGGCUUCGGGUGGAUGAACUCAAUGUUGUUUCCCCUCUCCUUCUCCAGUAUAGCAAUCUCCUCCUCAUAGAUUCUCCUAUUCUCUGGAUCGGCUAUCUCCUGGGCAUAAUCAUUCAGCAUUUCCCUGAAUUUCUCAUCUUUAAACGCCUUUGUCAAUCUCCUCAUUUCAUCUGCUGUCAUGUUGAGCUCUUUUAGCUUUUCCCCGAUCUCCAUCGUGAAGUACGGCAAUCACAGAGAACCCAGGGAAAUAAAAUUAAAGAGGGUAUAUUACCACAACAGUGAAGUUUUUGCUCUUAGAUCACCUGCAACGAGAACCCCCAGAAAUGAACGUUUGACAUCAGUUCGGUAGUAUUAUAACCUCCGCGUAGCUAAAAUUAUCGUGUAUUUUUUUAAGUUAAAAUAUGCUUUUCUCCAGUUUGUAAAAUAGCACCUGUAAACUACAACAAAUAUGGUGAUGUUGCAGCCUUUAAUAAACUAGUAAUUGAUCUAAAGAGAACUACGCUCGUGACGAAAAUACUACAAGUUAGCUUAAAUUGCAUAUGUGGUAUACUUUUGUGGCGUUUGAACUUACCGUGCAUUUUUCUCGAAUUGAAUGCACCCAAUAUGUCUUUACUCGGAUUUCAGAACGCUUGCCGUUACAUACUACGGAAACGCUAACACAAUAGAGGUCUAGUUUCUCUAAGAGCCCGUUCUCUUCCCUAAAGUAGUCGUGCGUGUACUGUCACCAUAGCAACCAAUACAUCGUUGAUACAAGGAAGACAUAACUUAAAUUUAAAAAGAUAAAGAAACGGUUUUUUACGUAUGUCCAGGGUUCAUAUAUGUGCUCAUGUUAUUACCUACACAAAGAAUAAUUAAUAUUUACAUAUUAUUACUCUUUCCCUUUUUUUUGCCAAACGAAUCGAUUGAGUCACGUGACUUCUCAUGUAUCCGUAAAACCAUUUUUGGUAACAUUUAUGACACGUUUUGACUAAGUUAUAAUUGAAGUAGUGAAUUUAACUUGUUUUUUGUUUGCUUUAGAUUUUUUUUGUACAAGUUAGGAUAAUGUUUCAGUUCAGCCACCAUGUGUCGCUAUUGACCGCGCACCUGGGAACUAACCGAACCGUGAGUAAGUCGGUCAGUAAGGCAAAGGGGCGGGUGUGGAGGCAAGCGAUUUGAUUGGUCGCGCCCCCGACAGUUAACUUUUCUCUCUCUCUGAUUGGAAGGAGGGCGCUGUUGUUCGGUGAGACCACGACCAUGAAGAAGCAAAGAGGUGUCAAUGGGAGGCCAAUACUGGCACACUGGAUGCAAGUUGUCUUAAAUAAAUACUAUUUUCAUUACAUUAAAAAACUAAUAAGUUAAUCGUAACGAGGAUAAGCUGUUUCGAAAAUGAACGAAUGGUUCAUUAUAAGUAUUACAACGUGAUGCUCUGAGUAGGCACUAGUGCUGUUCUGAAAGUAGUGCACCUGUCAUGCGACAUGACCAUUUUCUAGGAAUGUUGUGGAAGUGAUCAUUUUAUAAAAAUAGCCAGAGAUUUAUAGAAGCAAAUGUUGAUAGUGAAUGACUCCCCAAUUAUCUUGAGAAAUCAUUUACAUAAUGAGUGUCUUUGACAUAAAUAAUUUACAUAAUCAAAGUAUUCAUAGUGCAUCAUAAUCUGUUUUCAAAACUCAUAUGUCAAGGUGAACUUGAUCAAGCAAGAUCUUCCCCUUUGCCACGUGAUCAAAAUGAAUUGGAUCUAAUCAGUGGUGAGCCGUGCAUUUCAACCUUCCGCCUUCAGUGACGUCACAUACAUUAACACAAUAUAGGCUCGUCAAGCAGCAUUUAAUUUCAGGAGCAUUUAAAACCAUCAAGUAUGCAUUCACAAUUAAGAGCAGGAAACUUAUCAGGUGAGCUGAUUUACUUGAUACAUUUUUGUAUCUUUGUCAUUUUAUUUCGUUACCAUUAAUCCUAACGAAAUAAAAUAACAAGAAGAAAUGUAAAAUAAAAUUCAUUUACUCACCAAUGUAGUGCCUAUUCACUGAGCUGCAGAUCUACGCGAGUGUCCGCAAACGUUUUUAAACGCACCGUAGCUUGUAAGUGCCCAGCCGUGCUCUGAUUGUUUCCUUGCUGCCUUGGUAAAACAACUUAAAUUGGUAAAUCCAGUGGAAGGUCCGUCUUGAAAAUGGUGUGGAAAGUAGUCCUGCAACCAGAUCAACGUCUUCUCCUUCGGCCAUUUUGGGUCAAAAUGCAGCAACAGCUCCCUCUAGCAGGCGCUAAUCCAAUCACCGAACGCGCACGUCCAGUGUCGACGUCACUCGUUCUAGCUGGCCCUGGUACGCAGACUCGUGAUCUGAUAGGCUAUUGCAACCUGACUGUGCACAUUCAUUUACAGCGCACAGGGGCCUGCUCUGUUUAAUCUGAUGGGCCGAGCAAGUUUAAUUUACCUGGCAACACAAGCUAUCUGAAAUAUGAUUGGUUAAAAACUCUACCAUAAUAAGAAUGAGUUAUUUAUCGAGUGGCUUUCAAUGUUAUUUAAAAUAACACCAAAAGCCACUUGACUAAAUGGAAAUAAUAUGAUGUAAAGAAUACAGAGAAUAAUGUUGUUUACAUAUUUAUGAAAAUUAAAUGAAUUAAAUUUAUGUUAUUCUCAGAAAAAUAAAUUUAUUAGGUUUACUUUUCUGAGAACGUUUAGGCCAACAGAGAAGGUCUUGCUCGCUCUGACGGAACGCUACUGGAUCUAAUGGUGUGCAAAAAAGGAGAGAGCACACUCGGCAUUUUUUAGUCUGCCCUGACUCAUUGAGCAGUCUGGCGGCCUGGUGAAUAAACAAGACAUGACGUCUCUGCGUGGUCUUACAAAACCAAGCUUUUAUAGCACCGAUAAACCAAUCACUGGGCCAGAAAGGAAGCUGUCCCACAUGCUCGUCAGCAGAUUCGGGAGGAUGCGCGUGCGAGCUUCAGACCAAAAAAGGGCGGUGAGGGUGAAUGGUGUGACACGCAGGAUGUGGGAAGGCACCACUCAGUGUCUUUUAUGGAGGAUCGCUGACUCAACUGAGAGCCCACACCUUGUUUUUCCUGGAUUUGAUACUGGAAAACUCAUGACUAAAAGUGGAAAACCAACAACAAAGACAGAGUGAACAGUAAAUGAGUUGUCUUUUUAAUUACAAAUAUGUAUUAAAUAAUAUGAAAGGUACACAUAGGGAGGUAUGCAGUAAUCAUGAAGGUAUUUAUCAUAGUAAUGGCGAUUACGUAUGAAUAUUUACAAUGUUUAUAUAUCUGUAUAUGUACGCGUAUAUCAACACGUUCCUCAAACAGGACACGCAACAAAACAUUCACAUAUGUGUCACAACAAAUAAAAAAAAUGCUGCGGAAGGGUGGGAAAAUACGAAAUUCCAAGUCGUACAAAGGCUUUGGCAAAGAGUGCAUCCUUUAACAAAAAGAAUCCUUUUGUGUAAAUGUACAAAUGAGCAGUCGAGAUGUAAAGGUCCAGUGCAUGUUUUUUUUUUUUUUUAUUCCCAUGAGUCAAGACGGCCGUAUGUGCUGGGCCACUCCCUGCAUUACUCAAGUGUUCCUUGCCUACUGAGAGCCGGCAGGUACCAGCAUGCUUAUUGUAGCCAGGCUGGGUUUGGCGGAAGGGUUCUUGCCGGUGGCCAUCUUGUUCAGGUUCCGAACGUCGGCCUGCCAGGUGGGAAUUUUCUUGGUGGUCAUGUGGCGCCGGGCGUGUUUGGUGAGGUGAUCGCUGCGCAUGAAUCGCCGAUCGCACACGGGGCACACAAACUUCUUCUCGCCGGUGUGCGUCCGCCGGUGCCGGGAGAGCUCGUCAGAGCGGGCGAACCUUUUGUCGCAGCCGUCCCAGCUGCAGCUGAAUGGCUUCUCACCUACACACACACACAAAAAAAAGGGGGUGGUCUUUUUAGCAAGUGUGGUACAUGGACCAUAAAAUCACUACUUAAGUACAGUUCAGUUGUAUUUCACUUUUUAGUUCAGUACAUUUUCAUGUAACCUUGAAAAACUAUUUCUUUUAUAAUUUAUGAACCACAAAUAAUGUGUCGUUGCUGAUCUACCUGUGCCAGCAACAUAGUGACAGACAGGCAUAUAGUGAAGCCUCGCCUAUUUGCGGUUCACUCUUGACGCUUUUCAUUUUUUUCUGUGAAACCCAGACAGUAAAACCUCAUCAAUCGCUAGUUCAAAGUUCUCGGUCCGGCUCUUUCACGGAUUUCUUUUGUACAGUUAAUAAUUAUUCUGGUCUAUCUCCCAUCUAUUAGCAGAGUAAUUCCAGCAUUGAUCACUAGGUGUCUGCACACCAAUUACCUUUGAGACUAAAUGUGAAAGAAGAGGAAGUUAAAAGCAGUGAAUGCCACCCGCUGUGAUCCUGCUUUAUACACCUAAAGAAAGUGACGGCUGAAGGUUCAUUGUAAUGUACGUCUUUGGAUUUGUUUGGGGAAAAAAAACUGCGGGAUUGGAACACCGUUACACCGUUGCUCUCUCUAAAUAUUUGAAAUGUAUUUGUAUUAUUUUGUCAGUAUGUUUAAAGACUUUUU